Biomphalaria pfeifferi is the source of this 712-nucleotide non-coding RNA. The record is from the annotation of a GenBank genome assembly. Lineage: Eukaryota; Metazoa; Mollusca; Gastropoda; Planorbidae.
AAUAUAAUAAAAAAAAAAAAAAAAGAAGUAGAAACUUGCAUUGUAAGAAAUAUCCUUGAUAUCAAACUAGAACACACCAUCACUCACAUUUAGGUCAUUCAGUUAUACUCUCAAUUAAAAGAAACAUGUUCAAAUACUUUCAUUGAUAAGACUUUCACCAUUCCUACCAAGUGUAAAGCACUUUUACUACUUUGAUUAUUAAUUUUUUUUAAAAUUGACUAUUGCAAAAGAACUAUCUGUUAGAGUUUACCUGACCCUAAAGUAUGCACAAUGAUCAAAAUGACCGGAAACCACCAAGACUGACAAUCAUAAGAAAAAAUCCAAAAUUGUCUAAUAGGGUACAAACUCAGGAAAUUCAGUCUUACACUCAACACAUCCUAGCCACAUCAUCCCAUCAUUAGGCCACAACAAAAUUAUUGUAUACCUGAAAGUUACAGUUUCAACAAUUCAUUUCAAAUAGGUAUUUCACAUUUCAAAACACUGUGCCUAGAAUGUCAAAUUAAAUGUAACUAUUUCUUUUAACAGAUCCAAAGCAACAAAAAAGGACAAAGUUUAAACUGUUUAAUCAAGAUAAACUUUAUACUGUUAAAUUAACUUAAAUCUCUGCACACACAUAUUUAUAAUGCCCCCAAUAAACAAAAUAGUGCAAACAUCAGAAUGUUUCAAUUGGAAGAAAUACUGUAGUAAGAUUUAGAUUUUACCCCCCCCCCCC